RNAcentral lists this unclassified non-coding RNA (275 nucleotides) under Hevea brasiliensis (rubber tree). The record is from RNAcentral. Lineage: Eukaryota; Viridiplantae; Streptophyta; Magnoliopsida; Malpighiales; Euphorbiaceae.
GGUGAUGACAAGUUUUUGUGAAGGAAAGAUGGGCUUUUGAGGUGAUUUGGUAGGUGAGAUGAAGCUUUGGUGAAGUUUUUAAUGGUGGAAGGGUGUGGGAAGUGAGUUACGGCUGGAAGAAGGAAGAAGAAGCAGAUUGUUUCUUCAAUUUUUCUGCCCAUUUUAUGCUUUUAUUUAUGUUUAUAGAUAGGUGUCACAAUAUAAUUGGGUGGAGGCACACUAAUAACAUCAUGUGAUGUCAUAAUUUUCAAUUUUCUUUCCUUUUCUUUUCUUUU